RNAcentral lists this ribosomal RNA (750 nucleotides) under Capnocytophaga ochracea. Its description in RNAcentral is "bacterial SSU rRNA". It matches the Rfam family "Bacterial small subunit ribosomal RNA", at positions 28 to 776 of the family's 1533-position model. The record is from RNAcentral. Lineage: Bacteria; Pseudomonadati; Bacteroidota; Flavobacteriia; Flavobacteriales; Flavobacteriaceae.
GAUGAACGCUAGCGGCAGGCCUAACACAUGCAAGUCGAGGGGGAGGUUACUUUCGGGUAACUGAGACCGGCGUACGGGUGCGUAACGCGUAUACAAUCUGCCUUUCACUGGGGGAUAGCCCGAAGAAAUUUGGAUUAAUACCCCAUAGUAUAGUAGUGUGGCAUCACACAACUAUUAAAGCUUAGGUGGUGAAAGAUGAGUAUGCGUUCUAUUAGCUAGUUGGAGAGGUAACGGCUCCCCAAGGCGAUGAUAGAUAGGGGUUCUGAGAGGGAUGUCCCCCACACUGGUACUGAGAUACGGACCAGACUCCUACGGGAGGCAGCAGUGAGGAAUAUUGGACAAUGGUCGGAAGACUGAUCCAGCCAUGCCGCGUGCAGGAUGACGGCCUUAUGGGUUGUAAACUGCUUUUGUAAGGGAAGAAUAAGGGCUACGCGUAGUUUGAUGACGGUACCUUACGAAUAAGCAUCGGCUAACUCCGUGCCAGCAGCCGCGGUAAUACGGAGGAUGCGAGCGUUAUCCGGAAUCAUUGGGUUUAAAGGGUCUGUAGGCGGGCUUGUAAGUCAGAGGUGAAAGCGCUCAGCUCAACUGAGCAACUGCCUUUGAAACUGUUGGUCUUGAAUGGUUGUGAAGUAGUUGGAAUGUGUAGUGUAGCGGGUGAAAUGCUUAGAUAUUACACAGAACACCGAUAGCGAAGGCAUAUUACUAACAAUUAAUUGACGCUGAUGGGCGAAAGCGUGGGGAGCGAACAGG